CAGCCGCCGCGGUAAUACGAAGGGGGCUAGCGUUGUUCGGAUUUACUGGGCGUAAAGGGCGCGUAGGCGGGCGAAUAAGUCAGGGGUGAAAUCCCAAGGCUCAACCUUGGAACUGCCUUUGAUACUGUUUGUCUUGAGUUCGAGAGAGGUAAGUGGAACUGCGAGUGUAGAGGUGAAAUUCGUAGAUGUUCGGAAGAACACCAGUGGCGAAGGCGACUCGCUGGACAAGUAUUGACGCUGAGGUGCGAAAGCGUGGGGAGCAAACAGGAUUAGAUACCCGCGUAGUCCCUGUCUCUUAUAC
Molecule: ribosomal RNA, 301 nt
Filed under: uncultured bacterium
Lineage: Bacteria
Description: partial 16S ribosomal RNA
Rfam family: Bacterial small subunit ribosomal RNA
Source: RNAcentral